This 225-nucleotide long non-coding RNA is filed under the name Elaeis guineensis (African oil palm). RNAcentral describes it as "long non-coding RNA (EGUI_LNC013617)". Lineage: Eukaryota; Viridiplantae; Streptophyta; Magnoliopsida; Arecales; Arecaceae. The record is from RNAcentral.
AGGUGGUGGUGCACUAGUGCCAUUAUUGGACGAGGAGGUGGUCAUGGCCGAUGCCCAGAGAAAUGGCUUGAGGAGAUCUUUGGCGGUGGAUUCUCUCAUUGGACUGAUGUCUAAGCCCUCAACUUCACUUGUUGAUCACAUGACCUUAGAGGUAGAGGUGGCCGGUAGCGACAGACCGACUCCAAUCAGUGAGAGGCGACAGAGGUCAUCCUUGAAGGUUAGAUA